RNAcentral lists this ribosomal RNA (1472 nucleotides) under metagenome. RNAcentral's name for it is "SSU rRNA". It matches the Rfam family "Eukaryotic small subunit ribosomal RNA", at positions 322 to 1801 of the family's 1831-position model. The record is from RNAcentral.
ACGUUGGUGAGGUAUUUGCUCACCAUGGUGUUGACGGGUAACGGGGAAUCAGGGUUCGAUACCGGAGAGGGAGCCUUAGAAACGGCUACCACAUCUAAGGAAGGCAGCAGGCGCGCAAAUUACCCACUCUCAGAAUGUGGAGGUAGUGACCAUAAAUAACAAUACAGGACUCAAAUGAGGCUCUGUAAUUGGAAUGAGUACAAUCUAAAUCCUUUAACGAGUACCAAUUGGGGGGCAAGUCUGGUGCCAGCAGCCGCGGUAAUUCCAGCUCCAAUAGCGUAUAUUAAAUUUGUUGCAGUUAAAAAGCUCGUAGUUGGAUCUCAGGUGAGGUGUGUCGGUGUGUUCAAUGAGCAUCACCGUUCAUGUCUGCCUUUCUCAGUCGUUUGUCCUCUCAUGGUUCUCUUAACUGAGUGCUAUAAGAGGCUCGACACGUUUACCUUGAAAAAAUCAGAGUGCUCAAAGCAGGCCUUUGCGCUUGUAUGUUGUUGCAUGGAAUAAUGGAAUAGGACUUCGGUUCUAUUUUGUUGGUUUUCGGUGCCGAAGUAAUGAACAAUAGAGACAGACGGGGGCAUUUCUAUGGCUGUGAUAGAGGUGAAAUUCUGAGACCGCAGCCAGAGAAACUACUGCGAAAGCAUUUGCCAAGCAUGUCUUCAUUAAUCAAGAACGAAAGUCAGAGGUUCGAAGACGAUCAGAUACCGUCCUAGUUCUGACCUUAAACGAUGCCGUCCGAUAAUCAGGAGAGGUUAUAUUUUAUUAAUCCUCCUGGCUGUCCCUGGGAAACCUUAGAUAGGUUCUGGGGGGAAUAUGGUCGCAAGGUUGGAACUUAAAGGAAUUGACGGAAGGGCACCACCAGGAGUGGAGCCUGCGGCUUAAUUUGACCCAACACGGGGAAACUCACCCGGUCCGGACACUGUGAGGAUUGACAGAUUGAUAGCUCUUUCUUGAUUCAGUGGGUGGUGGUGCAUGGCCGUUCUUAGUUGGUGGAGUGAUUUGUCUGGUUAAUUCCGAUAACGAACGAGACUCUAUCCUGCUAAAUAGUUUGGUGGCAUCGGUCGCUUCGGUGACUAAAGCUGCUAAAACUUCUUAGAGGGAUUCGCGGUAUUUAAACCGCACGAAAGAGAGCAAUAACAGGUCUGUGAUGCCCUUAGAUGUCCGGGCCGCACGCGCGCUACAUUGACAGUAUCAGAAAGUAAUACCACCUAGCUAGAGAUAGUUGGGAAAUCUUUGAAUUACUGUCUCCACAGGGAUUGAGGUUUGUAACUAUCCCUCAUGAACGAGGAAUUCCCAGUAGGCGUAAGUCAUCAGCUUACGUCGAUUACGUCCCUGCCCUUUGUACACACCGCCCGUCGCUACUACCGAUUGAGUGGAUUAGUGAGGCCCUCAGAUUGAGGCUUUGAUGGCGAAAGUCACUAAGGUCUCGAAAAGUGGGUCAAACUUGUUCAUUUAGAGGAAGUAAAAGUCGUAACAAGGUU